AGUCAUAUGCUUGUCUUUAAGACUAAGCCAUGCAAGUCUAAGUAUAAGCUUUUAUACAGUAAAACUGCAGAUGGCUCAUUAAAACAGUUUUUGUUUAUUUGAUGUACAAAACCACAUGGAUACCUGUGGGAAUUCCAGAGCUAAUACAUGCAAGAAGACCCAACGCAUGGAGGGUUGUAUUUGUUAGAUUAAACGCCAAUGCCGUUCGCGGCUUCGGUGAAUCAUAGCAACUUUUCGAACCGUAUGCUCUCGUAGCGACGGUAGUUCAUUCAAAUUUCUGCCCUAUCAGCUUUCGAUGGUAGGAUAUGGGCCUACCAUGGCUUUAACGGGUGACGGAGAAUUAGGGUUCGGUUCCGGAGAGGGAGCCUGAGAAACGGCUACCACAUCCAAGGAAGGCAGCAGGCGCGCAAAUUACUCAAUCCCAAUUCGGGGAAGUAGUGACAAGAAAUAACAAUAGACGGGCUUAUUGGUUUGUCUAAUUGGAAUGAGAGCAAUCUAAAGAAAUCAACGAGGAUCCAU
Molecule: ribosomal RNA, 519 nt
Filed under: uncultured eukaryote
Lineage: Eukaryota
Description: bacterial SSU rRNA
Rfam family: Eukaryotic small subunit ribosomal RNA
Source: RNAcentral